UGAGAUUCAGCCCUUUGUCGCUAAGAUUCGA
This 31-nucleotide non-coding RNA is filed under the name Arabidopsis thaliana (thale cress). Lineage: Eukaryota; Viridiplantae; Streptophyta; Magnoliopsida; Brassicales; Brassicaceae. The record is from RNAcentral.